GUUAGGAAUAUUGGACAAUGGGCGCAAGCCUGAUCCAGCCAUGCCGCGUGAGUGAUGAAGGCCUUCGGGUUGUAAAGCUCUUUAGCCGAUGAUUAUAAUGACUGUAGUCGGAAAAUAAGCCCCGGCUAACUUCGUGCCAGCAGCCGCGGUAAUACGAAGGGGGCGAGCGUUAUUCGGAAUCACUGGGCGUACAGCGUGCGUAGGCGGCUUUGCAAGUUGGGAGUGAAAGCCCAGGGCUCAACCCUGGAAUUGCUCUCAAAACUGCAAGGCUCGAAUUCGGGAGAGGAUAGCGGAAUUGUCAGUGUAGCAGUGAAAUGCGUAGAUAUUGACAGGAACACCAGUGGCGUAAGCGGCUAUCUGGACCGAUAUUGACGCUGAGGCACGAAAGCGUGGGGAUCAAACAGGAUUAGAUACCCUAGUAGUCC
RNAcentral lists this ribosomal RNA (425 nucleotides) under uncultured bacterium. RNAcentral describes it as "partial 16S ribosomal RNA". It matches the Rfam family "Bacterial small subunit ribosomal RNA", at positions 354 to 796 of the family's 1533-position model. The record is from RNAcentral.